RNAcentral lists this ribosomal RNA (429 nucleotides) under Pseudomonadota bacterium. RNAcentral's name for it is "Proteobacteria bacterium partial 16S ribosomal RNA". It matches the Rfam family "Bacterial small subunit ribosomal RNA", at positions 355 to 776 of the family's 1533-position model. Lineage: Bacteria; Pseudomonadati; Pseudomonadota. The record is from RNAcentral.
UGGGGAAUAUUGGACAAUGGGCGAAAGCCUGAUCCAGCCAUGCCGCGUGUGUGAAGAAGGUCUUCGGAUUGUAAAGCACUUUAAGUUGGGAGGAAGGGCAGUAAGCGAAUACCUUGCUGUUUUGACGUUACCGACAGAAUAAGCACCGGCUAACUCUGUGCCAGCAGCCGCGGUAAUACAGAGGGUGCAAGCGGUAAUCGGAAUUACUGGGCGUAAAGCGCGCGUAGGUGGUUCGUUAAGUUGAAUGUGAAAGCCCCGGGCUCAACCUGGGAACUGCAUCCAAAACUGGCGAGCUAGAGUAGGGCAGAGGGUGGUGGAAUUUCCUGUGUAGCGGUGAAAUGCGUAGAUAUAGGAAGGAACACCAGUGGCGAAGGCGACCACCUGGGCUCAUACUGACACUGAGGUGCGAAAGCGUGGGGAGCAAACAGG